UGGGGAAUUUUGGACAAUGGGCGAAAGCCUGAUCCAGCAAUGCCGCGUGUGUGAAGAAGGCCUUCGGGUUGUAAAGCACUUUUGUCCGGAAAGAAAUCCUUGGCUCUAAUACAGUCGGGGGAUGACGGUACCGGAAGAAUAAGCACCGGCUAACUACGUGCCAGCAGCCGCGGUAAUACGUAGGGUGCAAGCGUUAAUCGGAAUUACUGGGCGUAAAGCGUGCGCAGGCGGUUUGCUAAGACCGAUGUGAAAUCCCCGGGCUCAACCUGGGAACUGCAUUGGUGACUGGCAGGCUAGAGUAUGGCAGAGGGGGGUAGAAUUCCACGUGUAGCAGUGAAAUGCGUAGAGAUGUGGAGGAAUACCGAUGGCGAAGGCAGCCCCCUGGGCCAAUACUGACGCUCAUGCACGAAAAGCGUGGGGGAGCAAAACAGGAUUAGAUACCCUGGUAGUCCACGCCCUAAAACGAUGUCAACUAGUUGUUGGGGACUUCAUUUCCUUAGUAACGUAGCUAACGCGUGAAGUUGACCGCCUGGGGAGUACGGUCGCAAGAUUAAAACUCAAAUGAAUUGACGGGGUCAUAGCUGUUUCCU
This 590-nucleotide ribosomal RNA is filed under the name uncultured bacterium. Its description in RNAcentral is "partial 16S ribosomal RNA". It matches the Rfam family "Bacterial small subunit ribosomal RNA", at positions 355 to 1375 of the family's 1533-position model. The record is from RNAcentral.